Molecule: long non-coding RNA, 1017 nt
Organism: Ictalurus punctatus (channel catfish)
Lineage: Eukaryota; Metazoa; Chordata; Actinopteri; Siluriformes; Ictaluridae
Source: Ensembl
CAGUUGCCACCUUGUGGUAAAAGAUCAUUGAAGGGAGCUUGAUGCAGUGCAGAUGCAUAAGUUCUUUAAACAAGUUUUUCCAUUUGGCUUUGUAGGCACGCAUCAGUGUUUUAAAUCUGAUGUGGACAGCUACAGGAAGCCAGUGGAGGGAGCGUAGCAAUGGGGUGGUGUGGAAGAACUUAGGAAGGUUGAAGUUAAUGAAAUGCAUUCUGGAUUAGUUGCAGAGGUUGGAUGAUGCUCAGAGGCAGAUCUAUCAGGAGUGAAGCUCUGUAUAUACGAAUUCUUCUGAUGUUGUCAAGGAUAAAUUGGCAUGAGAGUAUCAGAUUAGCAAUGUGAGAGGAAAAGGACAGUUGAUUGUCCAUGGUUACCCUAAGUUUGCAUGCAGUGACAGAAGGUGAGAUCUGAGAGUUGUCCAGGGAGAUCACAAGAUCCUGAAGUAGGAAUGAAUGACCUGGGAUGAACAGCAGUUCUGUUUUUCUGGGAUUAGGUUUCAGCUGAUGAGCUGCCACCCAGAUGUGAUGUCUGCCAGACAUGCUGAGAUCUGAAUAGAAACAAGAGUGUCUUCGAGAGGGAAGAGAAGAUGAGUUGAGUGUCAUCCACAUAGCAGUGGUAUGAAUUCGGGAGUGGUUCUGGGUCAGUUCCUGCUAGGUGGUGCUGACAGGUUCUAAACUAGCUGUGGCAGCCACUCUUAAAUGUUAUGGGAUAUAGGAAAGGUUAGGCAAGGCACAGGUGGACCUCUUCGCCAAUGCCAAGUCAACACAUUUGUGACUGUUGUUCUCACUGUCAAACAGACUGCUGAUACAGGAUGACUGGCCUCACCAUCUACUAUACACUUUACCUCCUCUAGGACUGACUCUUCCAAUCUAUUAUGCACUUUUCCUCCUCUUCCACUGAUUCUGCCCACAUUACACAUAAUUUAACAACUAGGCCACAAAGUCCAGUUUAUGGCCUUCGUAUGGGCAUCAAUACCUUGGUUCCCACUACUGAUUUUGCUGGUGGACAGAACACCCUUGCAGC